UUGCAGCAGGUUCCUCCUUUCAUAACAUGAACAUGAAUAUUUGGCAUUUCAUCUGUAUGGUGAUUGUAUCUCAUCAAGGUAUCAGUGGUGAUGAAAUCCGAUUAGAUCAGUCUCCUGCUGUGAUGAAGAGACCUGGAGAAACAGUGAAGAUCUCCUGUAAAAUAUCUGGUUUUACGAUGACGAGCUACUACAUGCACUGGAUCAGACAGAAGCCAGGGAAAGCUCUGGAGUGGAUUGGGGAAGUUAACUCUGGCUCUGGUAGUGUUGAUUAUGCAGAUACAAUGGAAAAUCACUUUACUAUGAAUGAGGAUGUGUCUCAAAGUACACAGUAUCUUGAAGCCAAGAGUCUGAGAGAAGAGGACACUGCUGUUUAUUACUGUGCUCGACAGACACAGUGACUCCAUCUGUUGAAGCAGCUUUACAAUAACUGAGAACUAAUGAGAAAAGACCAGCUAUUGGACUAUGAAUCAUAUUGCUCUCGUUAUCAUGAUUAUGAAGUAUUAUAUAUGGUUAUAGGACCAUCAUGAUC
Megalobrama amblycephala (Wuchang bream) is the source of this 529-nucleotide non-coding RNA. Lineage: Eukaryota; Metazoa; Chordata; Actinopteri; Cypriniformes; Xenocyprididae. The record is from the annotation of a RefSeq genome assembly.